AGGACAAUAGGACUCAAAAAACGGGGAGGAUUGCAAGGACAAUUCUCGUCCAAUCGUGUUCAUUAAGGGAAAUUCCGUCAAACAAAAAUGCAUUGGACUAAAAAGAAUAAAUGUGUUGGGAUGGGCUUGGUUAACCAGAAACCAUAUUGGACUAACAAGGCAAGACUCGAUGUUCGUCGUCAUCUCCUUCGUUCAUCAAGCAAACACGAAGAAAACCUAAAAGACAUUGAAUUCGCCAUGGUUUCUACUGAAUUCUUCAAUAUUUUAUUUAAAUCGUACAAAAUCAGGUGCUCGAUGAAAUGCCUAAAAGAGUUCAUUAUCUCAUGAACAAAGAAAAGUUGGGGAUUAUCUGUGAGAAAAUCAAAGUAAUUAUAUGCAACAAUUUGAAUAGAAUUUAAACAAUUUUGGCCCAAGGAUUGUGAAGACAAAAUCAUAAACUUUGAAACAAAUUCAUAUCAGAUGUGAAGGCACUAUCUUUUUAAAGGUGUUUGAUCAAAAGUCUCCCUACACCCUUUUUCUUUUCACCCUUGUUGACUCCUAAUUUUCGUAUUCCAAAUAUGUUUUUGAUGUGUCGAUCUCCAUGUUAAAUUUUCACAUUUAUACUAUAGAAACAAUUGCAUUUUAUUUAUUUCCAAACCACCAGGUAGUAAACUUGAGUUAAAUCUAAAGAGACAUUAUUGUGCU
Molecule: long non-coding RNA, 684 nt
Organism: Lactuca sativa (garden lettuce)
Lineage: Eukaryota; Viridiplantae; Streptophyta; Magnoliopsida; Asterales; Asteraceae
Source: RefSeq, a predicted model, not a curated record